UCUGGUGACUAUAGCAAGGAGGUCACACCUGUUCCCAUGCCGAACACAGAAGUUAAGCUCCUUAGCGUCGAUGGUAGUCGAAC
This 83-nucleotide ribosomal RNA is filed under the name Staphylococcus aureus. The record is from RNAcentral. Lineage: Bacteria; Bacillati; Bacillota; Bacilli; Caryophanales; Staphylococcaceae.